CUUGAACCAAAGCAAUUCCCAGCGGAAAUCUCAGCACUCAGAGCCAAGCUUAGUUGUUUCCAGUGUCCAAGGUAAAUAUACUGAUACCAGCUUCAAGGAAAAGGUAAGGUGAUGAAAAGAAAAACGUUAUGUCAAGAGGUAUUAUUUUCUCUGUUCCCAGAGGCAAAUUGGUACUGAAAGGCAGUUUUGUGGCCUGAAUAAGUCACUUGAACUACUCUGGGUUGGACUGUCUCCCCACCUCCUCUCUUCCUUAAUUAUUCUCUUUUUUAUUAUUAUUAUUUUUUUUUGGAGAUGGAGUCUUGCUGUGUCACCCAGGCGGGAGUGCAGUGGCAUUAUCUCGGCUCACUGUAACCUCUGCCUCCCGGGUUCAAGCGAUUCCUCUGCCUCAGCCUCCUGAGUAGCUGGGAUUACAGGUGCCUGCCACCACACCCAGCUAAUUUUUUGUAUUUUUGGUAGAGAUGGGGUUUUUUUUUUUUUUUUUUUUUUUUUUGAGAUGGAGCCUUGCUCUGUCACCCAGGCUGGAGUGCAGUGGCAUGAUCUUGGCUCACUGCAACCUCUACCUCCCAGGUUCAAGCAAUACUCCCUGCCUUAGCUUCCCAAGUAGCUAGGAUUACAGGCACCCACAACCACACCUGGCUAAUUUUUGUAAUUUUAGUAGAGACAGGCUUUUGCCACGUUGAACAGGUUGGUCUCAAACUCCUGACCUCAGGUGACCUGCCCACCUUGGCCUCCCAAAGUACUGGGAUUAUAGGCAUGAACCACUAUGCUAGGACUCUGAUUUGUGGGUUUUUGUCCAUUCUACCAUUCUGUAUCUUUUUUUUUUGAUGGAGUCUUGCUCUGUUGCCAGGCUGGAGUGCAGUGGUGCAGUCUCAGCUCACUGUAACCUCCAUCUCCUGAGUUCAAGCAAUUAUUCUGCCUCAGCCUCCUGAGUAGCUGGGACUACAGGCACAUGCCACCACACCCAGCUAAUUUUUGUAUUUUUAGUAGAGACGGGGUUUCACCAUCUUGACCAGGAUGGUCUUGAUCUCUUAACCAUGUGAUCCGCCCACCUUGGUCUCCCAAUGUGCUGAGACGACAGGUAUGAGCCACCACGCCUGGCCUGGUAUCUUUUUUUUUUUCUUUUUUUCUUUUUUUGGCCUGGUAUCUUCUAAGUGAAGCAUUUAGGCCAUUUAUAUACAACAUUUGUAUUGAGAUGUAAGGUACUGUUCUAUUCGUCAUGCUAAUUGUUGCCUGAAUACCUUGUUGUUGUUGUUGUUUUUCAUUGUGUUAUUGUUUUAUAGGUCCUGUGAGAUUUAUGCUUUAAUUAAGGAGGUUUAUUUUGGUGUGUUUUGAGGUUUUGUUUUAAGAUUUAGAACUUCUUUUAGCAUUCCUUGUAGUGCUGGCUUGGUAGUGGCAAAUUCUGUCACCAUUUGUUUGUCUGAAAAAAACUGUAUCUCCUUCAUUUAUGCAGCUUAGUUUUGCUGGAUACAAAAUUCUUGGCUGAUAAGUAUUUUGUUUGAGGAAGCCAAAGAUAGGACCACAGUCUCUUCUGGCAUGCGUGCAGGGUUUCUCCUGAGAAAUCUGCUGUUAAUCUGAUAGGUUUUUGUUUAUAGGUUAUCUGAUGCUUUUUGUCUCACAGCUCUUAAGAUUCUUUCCAUCCUCUUGACUUUAGAUAACCUGAUGACUAUGUGCCUAGGUGAUGAUCUUUUUGCAUUGAAUUUCUUAGGUAUUCUUUGAGCUUCUUGUAUUAGGAUGUCUAGAUCUCUUGUGAGACCAGGUAAUUUUCCUCAAUUAUUCCCUCAGAUAAGUUUUCCAAACUUUUAGAUUUCUCUUCUUUCCCAGGAACACCAGUUAUUCUUAUGUUUCAUCCUUUAACAUAAUCCCAAAUUUCUUGGAGGCUCUGUUCCUUUGGUUUUUGUUUUGUUUUGUUUUAAACAGAGUUUUGCUC
This 1927-nucleotide long non-coding RNA is filed under the name Papio anubis (olive baboon). RNAcentral describes it as "lncRNA (ENSPANG00000041522.1)". The record is from RNAcentral. Lineage: Eukaryota; Metazoa; Chordata; Mammalia; Primates; Cercopithecidae.